This 465-nucleotide ribosomal RNA is filed under the name Ottowia sp. canine oral taxon 014. RNAcentral describes it as "bacterial SSU rRNA". It matches the Rfam family "Bacterial small subunit ribosomal RNA", at positions 9 to 479 of the family's 1533-position model. The record is from RNAcentral. Lineage: Bacteria; Pseudomonadati; Pseudomonadota; Betaproteobacteria; Burkholderiales; Comamonadaceae.
GAGUUUGAUCAUGGCUCAGAUUGAACGCUGGCGGAAUGCUUUACACAUGCAAGUCGAGCGGCAGCGCGGGGCAACCUGGCGGCGAGCGGCGAACGGGUGAGUAAUACAUCGGAACGUGCCCAGACGUGGGGGAUAGCCCGGCGAAAGCCGGAUUAAUACCGCAUGUGAUCUGAGGAUGAAAGCGGGGGACCUUCGGGCCUCGUGCGUUUGGAGCGGCCGAUGGCAGAUUAGGUAGUUGGUGGGGUAAAGGCUUACCAAGCCUGCGAUCUGUAGCUGGUCUGAGAGGAUGAUCAGCCACACUGGGACUGAGACACGGCCCAGACUCCUACGGGAGGCAGCAGUGGGGAAUUUUGGACAAUGGGCGAAAGCCUGAUCCAGCCAUUCCGCGUGCAGGACGAAGGCCCUCGGGUUGUAAACUGCUUUUGUACAGAACGAAAAGUCUUCGGUUAAUACCCGGGGAUCAUG